Molecule: ribosomal RNA, 468 nt
Filed under: uncultured bacterium
Lineage: Bacteria
Description: partial 16S ribosomal RNA
Rfam family: Bacterial small subunit ribosomal RNA
Source: RNAcentral
GACGAACGCUGGCGGCGUGCUUAACACAUGCAAGUCGAACGGAAAGGCCCUGCUUUUGUGGGGUGCUCGAGUGGCGAACGGGUGAGUAACACGUGAGUAACCUGCCCUUGACUUUGGGAUAACUUCAGGAAACUGGGGCUAAUACCGGAUAGGAGCUCCUGCUGCAUGGUGGGGGUUGGAAAGUUUCGGCGGUUGGGGAUGGACUCGCGGCUUAUCAGCUGGUUGGGGGGGUAGGGGCUUACCAAGGCUUUGACGGGUAGCCGGCCUGAGAGGGUGACCGGCCACAUUGGGACUGAGAUACGGCCCAGACUCCUACGGGAGGCAGCAGUGGGGAAUAUUGCACAAUGGGCGGAAGCCUGAUGCAGCAACGCCGCGUGCGGGAUGACGGCCUUCGGGUUGUAAACCGCUUUCGCCUGUGACGAAGCGUGAGUGACGGUAAUGGGUAAAGAAGCACCGGCUAACUACGUG